GUUAAACAAGUGCUUGAAGGCAGUAUGCUUGGUAAAAGUCAUCACCACUCUCUAAUCUCAAGUACCCAGGGACACGAUACACUGCGGAAGGCCGCAGGGAUCUCUCCCUAGGAAAGCCAGAACAAGCCCUGUGAAAAACAAGCUGCUGUCCCUGCUAGAGGCAUCCUGCAAUCCAUGGAUGUUUAUCACCAAGCCAUUGUUAACAUGAGGAUCCAGUAUCUGCUGGAGGAGCCCCACCUUCUGCUACUAUUAUGUUCUUCAGAUGAGUAGAAGAGAGUGGGGAGGCAGAGAGCAGGAAGAAGAAAGGAAGAAUAAUGUCUCGAAAUUGAUGAUGCAUAUCAUAAAUUAUUACUCACCCCAUGUUCCCACCCUCGAGAGACCUCCAAACAAUCACCAUGCCACAGUGAACAUUC
RNAcentral lists this long non-coding RNA (413 nucleotides) under Pan troglodytes (chimpanzee). RNAcentral describes it as "lincRNA". Lineage: Eukaryota; Metazoa; Chordata; Mammalia; Primates; Hominidae. The record is from RNAcentral.